UGGUUACUCGCUUUGAAAGAGAAAGGACUGAGAGUUUGCUGGAACCUGCUGAUGUUCUGCGGUGUGUCCUUCCUGAUUGUUUUUCGCGGUUUGUUGUGGAUGCAGAUUUUACUUACCAGGAUUUUAGUCCUAGAGGAAUGCAGGCCCCCCCAACCAUGAGAGCUCAGGACUAUUCGUGGGAAGAUCACGGUUU
Molecule: long non-coding RNA, 193 nt
Organism: Sinocyclocheilus rhinocerous
Lineage: Eukaryota; Metazoa; Chordata; Actinopteri; Cypriniformes; Cyprinidae
Exons: 3
Source: RefSeq, a predicted model, not a curated record